RNAcentral lists this transfer RNA (55 nucleotides) under Contracaecum osculatum. Its description in RNAcentral is "tRNA-Tyr". The record is from RNAcentral. Lineage: Eukaryota; Metazoa; Nematoda; Chromadorea; Rhabditida; Anisakidae.
AAAGACAUAGUUUAGUUAAAAUAUUAGAUUGUAAAUCUAAAGAGUUUAGUUUUUG